Long non-coding RNA from Neodiprion virginianus, 946 nucleotides. RefSeq lists it as uncharacterized. NCBI's taxonomy places the organism in Eukaryota, Metazoa, Arthropoda, Insecta, Hymenoptera, Diprionidae. The transcript has 3 exons. The record is from RefSeq and is a predicted model, not a curated record.
UUUUAAAAUGAUUAUAUUUAAACUACAGAUAAUUCUGAAACCAAACACGUAGUGUGUUUGAAGAUUAAAAAGUUCAGUCAUAUCGCAAGCCUAUUAUCGAAGAGCUUUCACCUAAAACACUUCAAAUGAAAAUCUGGGAACGACUGAAUAACAGUUUCGAAAAUUAAACUGCCACCUUCAUCGACGAUUUUGGAAUCUUAUACAUAUGUUUGGGGCAAUGGAGGAAAUUUACAAAGCAUAAGACGAUACGUUGGGAGAAGCUUUCUUUACCAACGACCGCGCCAUGCAUCGAUCGCCGUUCGAAGGUGCAGAAUUGCCGACAGUCGACGGAAAGAAGGUGGGUAAUAAUCGGGACGACAGUCAAGAGUCCAAAUAUCGUUGACCAACAAUAGUCACAUGUGAAGUUCGAGAAUUCUUCACUGCGCAGCAUUUCUGCGUCACAGAUCCGGAGAAGAUAGGGAUCAUAAGAUAAUAACGACGAAACAUGAAAUAAUAAAUUGUAGUUGCAGGAGUAAUUUUAUACAUUGGCGUAAUAACGACGAGACACGAGCAAGAUUUCCUCAAAAAAGUGGAUCAAACUAUUCGAGAAAUACGCGACGAAAUGAUUUGGUUACAGAUCCAUCGGAAUUUCGAAUGAAUCGUAUAGCAGUUCAAGUAUACUUCCAACGAUUCUGAUACCUCAGGUAUUGGAUUUUCGAUGAUUGAAUUGACUCGUGUUACGGACUCGAAGUCACUGCUUUCACCUAUUCAAAAAUGAACACUUUGAAUAAUUUUACAAGUCGAAUCCAUAUAAUUCAAUACCUUUAUUAUCGUUGAAUACUUGACAUGAGAGUAUUUCAUUCAUAAUCAAGUUAUAUAACAGACAAGUUGAGAAGAAAUCGUGGUACAGAUAUUUUAACUGACGGCAUACUAUAAUACGAUAAUAUGAUGCGACGUAGAAUUAUUG